AGAGUUUGAUCCUGGCUCAGAUUGAACGCUGGCGGCAGGCCUAACACAUGCAAGUCGAACGGUAGCACAGAGAGCUUGCUCUCGGGUGACGAGUGGCGGACGGGUGAGUAAUGUCUGGGAAACUGCCUGAUGGAGGGGGAUAACUACUGGAAACGGUAGCUAAUACCGCAUAACGUCGCAAGACCAAAGUGGGGGACCUUCGGGCCUCAUGCCAUCAGAUGUGCCCAGAUGGGAUUAGCUAGUAGGUGGGGUAAAGGCUCACCUAGGCGACGAUCCCUAGCUGGUCUGAGAGGAUGACCAGCCACACUGGAACUGAGACACGGUCCAGACUCCUACGGGAGGCAGCAGUGGGGAAUAUUGCACAAUGGGCGCAAGCCUGAUGCAGCCAUGCCGCGUGUAUGAAGAAGGCCUUCGGGUUGUAAAGUACUUUCAGCGGGGAGGAAGGCGUUAAGGUUAAUAACCUUGGCGAUUGACGUUACCCGCAGAAGAAGCACCGGCUAACUCCGUGCCAGCAGCCGCGGUAAUACGGAGGGUGCAAGCGUUAAUCGGAAUUACUGGGCGUAAAGCGCACGCAGGCGGUCUGUUAAGUCAGAUGUGAAAUCCCCGGGCUCAACCUGGGAACUGCAUUUGAAACUGGCAGGCUUGAGUCUUGUAGGGGGGGGUAGAAUUCCAGGUGUAGCGGUGAAAUGCGUAGAGAUCUGGAGGAAUACCGGUGGCGAAGGCGGCCCCCUGGACAAAGACUGACGCUCAGGUGCGAAAGCGUGGGGAGCAAACAGGAUUAGAUACCCUGGUAGUCCACGCUGUAAACGAUGUCGACUUGGAGGUUGUUCCCUUGAGGAGUGGCUUCCGGAGCUAACGCGUUAAGUCGACCGCCUGUGGAGUACGGCCGCAAGGUUAAAACUCAAAUGAAUUGACGGGGGCCCGCACAAGCGGUGGAGCAUGUGGUUUAAUUCGAUGCAACGCGAAGAACCUUACCUACUCUUGACAUCCAGAGAACUUAGCAGAGAUGCUUUGGUGCCUUCGGGAGCUCUGAGACAGGUGCUGCAUGGCUGUCGUCAGCUCGUGUUGUGAAAUGUUGGGUUAAGUCCCGCAACGAGCGCAACCCUUAUCCUUUGUUGCCAGCGGUCCGGCCGGGAACUCAAAGGAGACUGCCAGCGAUAAACUGGAGGAAGGUGGGGAUGACGUCAAGUCAUCACGGCCCUUACGAGUAGGGCUACACACGUGCUACAAUGGCAUAUACAAAGAGAAGCGACCUCGCGAGAGCAAGCGGACCUCAUAAAGUAUGUCGUAGUCCGGAUUGGAGUCUGCAACUCGACUCCAUGAAGUCGGAAUCGCUAGUAAUCGUAGAUCAGAAUGCUACGGUGAAUACGUUCCCGGGCCUUGUACACACCGCCCGUCACACCAUGGGAGUGGGUUGCAAAAGAAGUAGGUAGCUUAACCUUCGGGAGGGCGCUUACCACUUUGUGAUUCAUGACUGGGGUGAAGUCGUAACAAGGUAACC
RNAcentral lists this ribosomal RNA (1501 nucleotides) under Klebsiella sp. GG50E. Its description in RNAcentral is "bacterial SSU rRNA". It matches the Rfam family "Bacterial small subunit ribosomal RNA". Lineage: Bacteria; Pseudomonadati; Pseudomonadota; Gammaproteobacteria; Enterobacterales; Enterobacteriaceae. The record is from RNAcentral.